RNAcentral lists this ribosomal RNA (549 nucleotides) under uncultured Glomeromycotina. RNAcentral describes it as "SSU rRNA". It matches the Rfam family "Eukaryotic small subunit ribosomal RNA", at positions 548 to 1098 of the family's 1831-position model. The record is from RNAcentral. Lineage: Eukaryota; Fungi; Glomeromycota.
UUGGAGGGCAAGUCUGGUGCCAGCAGCCGCGGUAAUUCCAGCUCCAAUAGCGUAUAUUAAAGUUGCUGCAGUUAAAAAGCUCGUAGUUGAAUUUCGGGACCAUCAUGUCGGUCGUGCCUCGGUACGUACUGGUAUUGUUGGUUUCUCCCUUCUGACGAACCAUGAUGUCAUUUAUUUGGUGUUGUGGGGAAUCAGGACUGUUACUUUGAAAAAAUUAGAGUGUUUAAAGCAGGCUCACGCUUGAAUACAUUAGCAUGGAAUAAUGAAAUAGGACGUUUGAUUCUAUUUUGUUGGUUUCUAGGAUCGACGUAAUGAUUAAUAGGGAUAGUUGGGGGCAUUAGUAUUCAAUUGUCAGAGGUGAAAUUCUUGGAUUUAUUGAAGACUAACUUCUGUGAAAGCAUUUGCCAAGGAUGUUUUCAUUAAUCAAGAACGAAAGUUAGCCCCAUCGAAGACGAUCAGAUACCGUCGUAGUCUUAACCAUAAACUAUGCCGACUAGGGAUCGGAUGAUGUUAAUUUUUUAAUGACUCAUUCGGCGCCUUACGGGAAAC